UCUCCACUGCCUGGAACGUACCGUCCUGGCCAUACCUAACCUCUACUGUUUUCUGCGGCUAGCGCCCUUGCUGAUGUUCCUCAACAUCGGAGCACGUAGCCGCUUACGCAGACUUCGAUGUCAUUCAUCUUGAGCGAGUUUUAUACCAGCCUGUCCAGAGUUCUAUCUGGGAAAUUUAGAUUUCGUUGGAAUUUCAAAAAACCAUUCGAAUCGAUAAUUCACUGUUAGAGACGAGAGGCUAAUUUUUUCAAACGAUCGUACCUAAUUCACUCAUCGUUGCCAGGCACGAGAAAAAGUGGAUAUAUAGAGGCGCGAGAACAGCAUGCUUUCGACAAUCGUCAACGAGAUACGUCGGUCCACGCAAUGACGUCAGAGGCUGGUCCAAUCCUGUCGAAUACGUCCGUGGCCCGAUCUCACCCUAUUGAGCGAGAGAGAAAGGAAGAUGCGGUGUAUACGUACAUAAGGUAAGCUAGACAAAGACGGAAUGAUAGGUAUAUAGAUAUCGACAGGGAGGAAAGAGACAGAGAAAGAGAGUCGCAGAGGGACGCAAGAGCCAGCAAAUAAGAGCACAGUCCGACAAAUAGAAGGAGAAGACAAUUCGAGUUCCGCUCUCCUGCUCUUACGAGACGUUGUGCACGCUGAUUCAAGCCUUGCGAUAUUGUUGCCAGAAUUGUUCGUUAUAAUUUACAAUGUUCAAAAUAUUCCUGAUGUGAUCGUUGAGACAAAUUCUGAUUUUCUAUGACAUAUAACGCGUUUGAGCACAAAUACAUAUAAGUAUUUUUCAUACA
Molecule: long non-coding RNA, 788 nt
Organism: Bombus pascuorum
Lineage: Eukaryota; Metazoa; Arthropoda; Insecta; Hymenoptera; Apidae
Exons: 3
Source: RefSeq, a predicted model, not a curated record